Molecule: small RNA, 2180 nt
Filed under: Pan troglodytes (chimpanzee)
Lineage: Eukaryota; Metazoa; Chordata; Mammalia; Primates; Hominidae
Description: processed transcript
Source: RNAcentral
GUCUUUCCGCCCAUCGCCCACGAUAGCGGCUGCAUGGCGGGCGCGGAGUUGGGGGCGGCGCUCGAGCAGCGAGCGGCUCGGUGCCCUGGCCAUCCACACUGAGGUCGUGGAGCACCCCGAGGUGAGGCCCCUAGAAGCGACCGCGGAGACAGGCCCAGCGGGGUGGGCUGUGCUGCACGUCCGUCGGGCGAGGCCGCUGAGAUCAGGUGUCCCACGGUCAAUGUACCGUGAGAACGUCGCUCCUGGAAUAUUUCCCCGGUCUCAAAAUACGAAAGUGACCCUGCAGGGACAGCAGAGGACUUCCGUCUUGGGACCAUGAGGUUACUGCACGGAAAUCUUUACUCUUGGGAGUGAUUUGCUUACAUUCCGUGUUGAGAACCAGCACAACAUACGGAGGACUGUGCAUCUUAAAUCGGUCUGGGAUGCUGGGUCAGUUUGUCCACUUUUUGUGUAGAUAAAAUAAGCAAGUGGUUAAUAGUGUGUUCAGUAGGUACGACGUAUCAGGCACCAUACAUAGAGCAGGACACUGAGGUUCACAGUGAUAUUUUUCUACUGUGGUCAGGGUUGAUCACAAAGCAUGCAGCAUGGCAGAAACCACCACCACCCGUGAAGUGCUUACCAAAAUUGACAUGCCUGUAUUUUCAUAAAUUGUAACAUUUGUUGUGUUUUGAUAGAAAGUCUUACUUGCAUUUAUUUUAUUUAUUUAUUUAUUUAUUUAUUUAUUUAUUUAUUUAUUUAUUUGAGACAGAGUCUCUGUGGCCCAGGCUGGAGUGCAGUGGUGCGAUCUCGGCUCAAUGCAACCUCUGCCUCCCGGGUUCAAGCCAUUCUCCUGCCUUAGCCUCCCGAAUAUCUGGGACUACGAAUAUCUGGGACUACAAGCGCCCGCCACCACGCCUGGCUAAUUUUUGCAUUUUUAGUAGAGACGGGAUUUCGCCAUGUUGGCCUGGCUGGUCUCGAACUCCUGACCUCAGGUGAUGCUCCCACCUGGGCUUCCCAAAGUGCUAGGAUUACAGGCGUGACCCACCGCGCCAGACCACUUGCAAAUAUUUCACAGAGCCAAUGUGUAACUUGAGUGGUGCAAGGACAUGAAGUUUACCCAAGGCUUAACAGUUGAUAAUGGCUAAAUAUGGUGAUCUUCAAAGAGUAGAGAAAUAUAGUUAGUAUUCCUCACCUUCACAAAUACAACAUCAAAACCGUAAUCAUUUUCUGUGACCUUCCUCCCUCCCAUAUAGUCCUAUAUUCUCCCCCUUCUUUAUGUGUGCAUAUGCCAGCUUUUCUGAUGUUCUGUUAGUCUGGGUUCUUAUUGCCUCCCCACUCACCUUCUUUGUGGUUACAUAUUUGUAGAAUGGAGUUUGUCACAUGGUCUGGACGUAACGGAAUGCUAAAGAAUAGGAGUCUAGAACUGCUGUAAACUUUCAGUAACCAAAAGCUUAAAUUUAGAAAUAAAAAGCUGCUGAAGAGUGAGAUAUUGGCAAGUACAUUGGAAUACAAAACUGGCCGAAGAAACUGCCUGAGGUCCUGAGAUGAGGAAAUGAGAUGGCAUGGGCUUAUAAGUAAUUAUUUGGUAAAGGGGUGAAGAUGGGUCUUUAACAGUGAAAUUCAGGGCGAUAAGCACUCCCAAACCUUGCUGUUUUCACCCAGCAGGCAAAAUAGGUAUAAACGUGUGCAUAUGUAAACAUGCAUAUUACUUUAAAACUUACUGAUAUUUUAUAGCUAUUUACAGUUGAAGAAAUGAUGCCUCAUAUCCAACAUCUGAAAGGAGCACAUAGUAAGAACUUAUUUCUUAAAGACAAAAAGAAAAAGAAUUAUUGGCUGGUGACAGUUCUUCAUGAUAGACAAAUUAAUUUAAAUGAGCUUGCCAAGCAGUUAGGUGUUGGGAGUGGAAAUCUGCGAUUUGCUGAUGAAACAGCCAUGCUAGAAAACCUAAAAGUUGGUCAAGGCUGUGCCACACCCUUGGCACUUUUCUGUGAUGGUGAUGUGAAGUUUGUUCUGGAUUCUGCUUUUCUCGAAGGUGGACAUGAAAAGGUGUACUUUCAUCCAAUGACCAAUGCUGCAACCAUGGGAUUGAGCCCUGAAGACUUUCUCACAUUUGUGAAGAUGACAGGACAUGAUCCCAUAAUACUAAAUUUUGAUAAAAACAACUAAUUGGGCCAAUGUUUAGAAUACAUUUCUUUCUGAAA